CCGGCCCCAUCCCCUUUUUCCCUUUCAAUUUCCAGCAGAACCGACAACACCAACACAGCCCCUUGCCAGCGUCUUCCUCUUCCCCAGACGCAAACCCAAAAACGUCAAAGCGACAAGCAGUCCGAAAUGUCAACAAACAGCAGCUCUCACAGCUUUCUCUGCAACAAUCACCCACCCUGCUCCUCGUCCGGAUUUUAUGGGAUUUUGGACGAGAUCUCAUACCAAACCCAGCUGCUCCCUGAAAAAAGGAUUUUUUUUGAAUUUUUGAAACCAAGAGAGAAUUCCGUUUUGACCCUUGUUCCUAUCCGUUUUUCAUCCCAUCUUUCCCUAUAAAUUGCCCUAUACAUUCAGUGAUUAAAGGGGAGAGGGACAAAAAAAUUUUAAUUUGGAUUUGAGGUCAUACACGACAAAUAAGUUGGCAAAAGAGUUUUAGAGUUUAGUUCUCAGACAAUAAUCACUCAUACACUUGAAAACUUUACAUCUAGCUUUUUGAAUCUAAGUUAUGAGAGGAUUGACGCUUGGAUUUUCUUAGCUUGUUGUUCCUAUUCGAAGUUCGUGGUAAAAGAAUCGCUGGCCUCAAGCUUGUUGUCGUCCAGUUCUCUGCCCCAAAAAAGGUAAUACUAGUCUUUGAUUCACGCCUCUUUUGUGCCUAAUGUAAGGACGAUUUGCUUUUGAUAGUUGUGUAGUGUUAGAUGUUGGUAUCCUGGGAGUGUCAUGACUUACUGUUGGUUGCCAAACUUUGAUACAAGUUUGUUUGUUGAUUCAACUGUUCUCUUGGUUUGUUUUGCUCGAAGCUUUCUAAUUCCGUAUGGCAUUGAGUUGGUUUCGUUCUAUUUUCUUCUUGUUAUUCUAACUAGUAUAAAUCAUGUGAGUUGCUUUUA
RNAcentral lists this long non-coding RNA (881 nucleotides) under Solanum tuberosum (potato). RNAcentral's name for it is "long non-coding RNA (STUB_LNC009914)". Lineage: Eukaryota; Viridiplantae; Streptophyta; Magnoliopsida; Solanales; Solanaceae. The record is from RNAcentral.